GUCGGGAUGGCCGAGCGGUCCAAGGUGCUGCGUUCAGGUUGCAGUCUUUGUGGAGGCGUGGGUUCAAAUCCCACUCCUGACA
Non-coding RNA from Phycodurus eques (leafy seadragon), 82 nucleotides. Lineage: Eukaryota; Metazoa; Chordata; Actinopteri; Syngnathiformes; Syngnathidae. The record is from the annotation of a RefSeq genome assembly.